GACGAACGCUGGCGGCGUGCUUAACACAUGCCAGUCGAACGGAAAGGCCCUGCUUUUGUGGGGUGCUCGAGUGGCGAACGGGUGAGUAACACGUGAGUAACCUGCCCUUGACUUUGGGAUAACUUCAGGAAACUGGGGCUAAUACCGGAUAGGAGCUCCUGCUGCAUGGUGGGGGUUGGAAAGUUUCGGCGGUUGGGGAUGGACUCGCGGCUUAUCAGCUUGUUGGUGGGGUAGUGGCUUACCAAGGCUUUGACGGGUAGCCGGCCUGAGAGGGUGACCGGCCCCAUUGGGCCUGAGAUACGGCCCAGACUCCUACGGGAGGCAGCGGUGGGGAAUAUUGCACAAUGGGCGGAAGCCUGAUGCAGCAACGCCGCGUGCGGGAUGACGGCCUUCGGGUUGUAAACCGCUUUCGCCUGUGACGAAGCGUGAGUGACGGUAAUGGGUAAAGAAGCACCGGCUAACUACGUG
RNAcentral lists this ribosomal RNA (468 nucleotides) under uncultured bacterium. RNAcentral's name for it is "partial 16S ribosomal RNA". It matches the Rfam family "Bacterial small subunit ribosomal RNA", at positions 28 to 507 of the family's 1533-position model. The record is from RNAcentral.